CGGCGUGCCUAAUACAUGCAAGUCGAGCGAACAGACGAGGAGCUUGCUCCUCUGACGUUAGCGGCGGACGGGUGAGUAACACGUGGAUAACCUACCUAUAAGACUGGGAUAACUUCGGGAAACCGGAGCUAAUACCGGAUAAUAUAUUGAACCGCAUGGUUCAAUAGUGAAAGACGGUUUUGCUGUCACUUAUAGAUGGAUCCGCGCCGCAUUAGCUAGUUGGUAAGGUAACGGCUUACCAAGGCAACGAUGCGUAGCCGACCUGAGAGGGUGAUCGGCCACACUGGAACUGAGACACGGUCCAGACUCCUACGGGAGGCAGCAGUAGGGAAUCUUCCGCAAUGGGCGAAAGCCUGACGGAGCAACGCCGCGUGAGUGAUGAAGGUCUUCGGAUCGUAAAACUCUGUUAUUAGGGAAGAACAAAUGUGUAAGUAACUAUGCACGUCUUGACGGUACCUAAUCAGAAAGCCACGGCUAACUACGUGCCAGCAGCCGCGGUAAUACGUAGGUGGCAAGCGUUAUCCGGAAUUAUUGGGCGUAAAGCGCGCGUAGGCGGUUUUUUAAGUCUGAUGUGAAAGCCCACGGCUCAACCGUGGAGGGUCAUUGGAAACUGGAAAACUUGAGUGCAGA
Molecule: ribosomal RNA, 630 nt
Filed under: Staphylococcus epidermidis
Lineage: Bacteria; Bacillati; Bacillota; Bacilli; Caryophanales; Staphylococcaceae
Description: bacterial SSU rRNA
Rfam family: Bacterial small subunit ribosomal RNA
Source: RNAcentral